Long non-coding RNA from Nilaparvata lugens (brown planthopper), 790 nucleotides. RefSeq lists it as uncharacterized. The transcript is spliced from 4 exons. The record is from RefSeq and is a predicted model, not a curated record. NCBI's taxonomy places the organism in Eukaryota, Metazoa, Arthropoda, Insecta, Hemiptera, Delphacidae.
CUAGUGGGCAUUUGCUAGUCUACGACUUCCAUUUCCUUUCAAUACAUCACAAUUUACCAUCGGCUUGGUUCCAGUUAACCUAACUUUUGCAUUUUUUCACAUUUGAAUGUUUCUAUCAUCUUGGGCAGAUUAAAUACAAAUUUGGUGACACAAGGCAAAGAUCCAAUAUUAAAUUUAUCUAGGCAGGAAAGCUACAAUGAACUCGUGAUGAUGGAUCUGGAAGAACAACAGAGGUUCAUCGCCCAACAAACUAGUCAAUCAGAGUCGCCACAUAUUCCACGAAGAUUCAUGGUGGUGACUGGAGAUAUCUGGUCAGUGGACUCCAUCGCGCCCCCCUCAGCGACGACUACCGUUACUUCCGCCGUCGGCAGUGUGUCUGCUACAUCAACUUGCGCGGACGAAAAGAGACUCAUUUUAAAAUGAUAAUGAUUGUCAAAUUAAUGAAAGUGAAAAGUUUGGCUAACAAGGCCUUUAUAUUGGUCCACAAGAUAGAAUUUACAAGUGAGUGAAUAAUGUGGUGACAGUGAUAAAAUUUUUCAGAACAAGGACAAAACACUCAGGUAUUUAUCAAUUAUUGCUGUGUGAUUUAAAGCUUGUUAUAUCUUAUGUCCUAUCUAGAUCUGCUAAUUUGCUCAGUAUGCCUGUAUUUAUAACUAUACGCCUUCUUUUACAAACAAUAUUAUACCAAAAGAGAUCAAAUAUCAACUUCAGACUAGCUUAUUGCUGAUUGUAGCCUAUAUUAUUUUUAAACUGGCUUAUGCUUGACUUGUUAAUGAAUUGAUAAAAUUCA